Molecule: long non-coding RNA, 222 nt
Filed under: Elaeis guineensis (African oil palm)
Lineage: Eukaryota; Viridiplantae; Streptophyta; Magnoliopsida; Arecales; Arecaceae
Description: long non-coding RNA (EGUI_LNC069850)
Source: RNAcentral
GGGUGUAAGUAUUCCUUCGACUUGAGAUCACCACGGUGACUUGCAAACAACUCAUUACACUUUGAUGUCAGACUAUUUAAAUUUUUAAUUUAGUGAUGAAAUAUUUUUAGGUGUAGUCAAGUACUUGUUAAGUCGGUGUGCAAGUCAAGAUGAGAUUGACCUCUCUGAAUUUAAGAGUUAAUGCAUCACUAUAUUUUAAUUUUAUAAAAUCUUGGUUAGGAU